CUAAGAAUCACAGGGUGGUUCUCCUUUGGCACGAAGGCUUGCGUAGCUACGCAUGAAAAUGCCGCGAGUUAAUGCUUGUGCUCUUCUUGCCAAAGGAGAAUUGCCCUGCCAUUCACCU
This 118-nucleotide microRNA precursor is filed under the name Ananas comosus (pineapple). RNAcentral describes it as "mir-399 microRNA precursor family". It matches the Rfam family "mir-399 microRNA precursor family". Rfam says of the family: mir-399 was identified in both Arabidopsis thaliana and Oryza sativa computationally and was later experimentally verified. mir-399 is thought to target mRNAs coding for a phosphatase transporter. The mature sequence is excised from the 3' arm of the hairpin. The record is from Rfam by way of RNAcentral. Lineage: Eukaryota; Viridiplantae; Streptophyta; Magnoliopsida; Poales; Bromeliaceae.